RNAcentral lists this ribosomal RNA (251 nucleotides) under uncultured prokaryote. RNAcentral describes it as "partial 16S rRNA". It matches the Rfam family "Bacterial small subunit ribosomal RNA", at positions 525 to 775 of the family's 1533-position model. The record is from RNAcentral.
ACGGGGGGUGCAAGCGUUGUUCGGAAUCAUUGGGCGUAAAGCGCGUGUAGGCGGCUUAACAAGUCAGAUGUGAAAUCCCUGGGCUUAACCCAGGAAGUGCAUUUGAAACUGUUUGGCUUGAGUAAGGGAGAGGAAAGUGGAAUUCCUGGUGUAGAGGUGAAAUUCGUAGAUAUCAGGAGGAACACCGGUGGCGAAGGCGACUUUCUGGCCCUAUACUGACGCUGAGACGCGAAAGCGUGGGUAGCAAACAG